CCAAAGAGCAAUACUACACGAAUGUAGUUCCUAGAGGCUGUAUUGCAACUGGACAUUUUUCAAAGCUCCUUGAAAGCCGUGAGCAAACAUACUGAGCUUCCCAAUUUACUGCAAACAAUAAAGAGUCAGAAUGCCUCUGUGACCUGCUUUUGGAAGAAAUAUUCAUCUGGUUCAGAGACAGAGCGCAAUCCAACUCAACGGGGGAUAAUGUGGAAUCAUCCCGAAGAGAUGUGGGAGACCAACUAUGAUUCUUGCCCAAUGUCCUCAGAGCAGGAGGAGAGACAGUGCAGCCUCUGCCUUUGCUGUGCAAAGAGUUCCAUUCACUUCAGGCAGACUCUGAGCUCAAACCAAGAGGUACCAGAAAGUACAGUACCUGGACUAUGGAGUGGCACAGACUGCAGCUGCUGCUUCAUUGCCAUCCUGGACUGGCUUAUUCCCAGAUAUUAUCACCUAUAGGAACAAGAUGACUUUCCAAACCCUGAAAUGAUCAAAUUUUCAGAUUCAAUAUGAA
Long non-coding RNA from Vidua macroura (Pin-tailed whydah), 511 nucleotides. RefSeq lists it as uncharacterized. Lineage: Eukaryota; Metazoa; Chordata; Aves; Passeriformes; Viduidae. The transcript is spliced from 3 exons. The record is from RefSeq and is a predicted model, not a curated record.